RNAcentral lists this ribosomal RNA (351 nucleotides) under Triticum aestivum (bread wheat). Its description in RNAcentral is "partial small subunit ribosomal RNA". The record is from RNAcentral. Lineage: Eukaryota; Viridiplantae; Streptophyta; Magnoliopsida; Poales; Poaceae.
GAUACAAUUUUCUGGAGCCUCAAUAAAAAGAAGAGAUUUUCUACUAGAUCGGUAUAUGAAUGGUUAGAGAGGAAUCUAGUUGGUCCUAAUUAUAAAUAGAUCUGGAAAGCUAGUAUCCCAUUGAAAAUUAAAAUCUUUCUAUGGCAGCUAUUCCAAAAUGUUGUGCUUACGCGGGAUAAUUUGCGGAAAAGGAAUUGGCCCCGGAAUCCUAUUUGUUCUUUCCGCACUAGUAUGGAAAAGGCAAAUCAUCUGUUCUUUGCAUGUCCACUUGCUCGAACGGUUUGGGGGGUCUUCGGGGUUACGGCCGGGGCUUCCUGCUGUCCCCGAUCUUUGUGGCAAUGUCGGGCAUGA